AUUGAACGCUGGCGGCAGGCCUAACACAUGCAAGUCGAACGAGUGGCGGACGGGUGAGUAAUGUCUGGGAAACUGCCUGAUGGAGGGGGAUAACUACUGGAAACGGUAGCUAAUACCGCAUACCAUCAGAUGUGCCCAGAUGGGAUUAGCUUGUUGGUGGGGUAACGGCUCACCAAGGCGACGAUCCCUAGCUGGUAUGAGAGGAAGACCAGCCACACUGGAACUUGGAACCGGACCAGAAUCCUAAGGUAGGCAGCAGUGGGGAAUAGUGGACAAUGGGCGCAAGCCUGAUGCAGCCAUGCCGCGUGUAUGAAGAAGGCCUUCGGGUUGUAAAGUACUGUUGGCGGGGAGGCGUUACCCGCAGAAGAAGCACCGGCUAACUCCGUGCCAGCCGCCGCGGUAAUUC
This 406-nucleotide ribosomal RNA is filed under the name uncultured bacterium. Its description in RNAcentral is "partial 16S ribosomal RNA". It matches the Rfam family "Bacterial small subunit ribosomal RNA", at positions 30 to 526 of the family's 1533-position model. The record is from RNAcentral.